This 468-nucleotide ribosomal RNA is filed under the name uncultured bacterium. RNAcentral describes it as "partial 16S ribosomal RNA". It matches the Rfam family "Bacterial small subunit ribosomal RNA", at positions 28 to 507 of the family's 1533-position model. The record is from RNAcentral.
GACGAACGCUGGCGGCGUGCUUAACACAUGCAAGUCGAACGGAAAGACCCUGCUUUUGUGGGUUGCUCGAGUGGCGAACGGGUGAGUAACACGUGAGUAACCUGCCCUUGACUUUGUGAUAACUUCAGGAAACUGGGGCUAAUACCGGAUAGGAGCUCCUGCUGCAUGGUGGGGGUUGGAAAGUUUCGGCGGUUGGGGAUGGACUCGCGGCUUAUCAGCUUGUUGGUGGGGUAGUGGCUUACCAAGGCUUUGACGGGUAGCCGGCCUGAGAGGGUGACCGGCCACAUUGGGACUGAGGUACGGCCCAGACUCCUACGGGAGGCAGCAGUGGGGAAUAUUGCACAAUGGGCGGAAGCCUGAUGCAGCAACGCCGCGUGCGGGAUGACGGCCUUCGGGUUGUAAACCGCUUUCGCAUGUGACGAAGCGUGAGUGACGGUAAUGGGUAAAGAAGCACCGGCUAACUACGUG